Molecule: small RNA, 3338 nt
Filed under: Pan troglodytes (chimpanzee)
Lineage: Eukaryota; Metazoa; Chordata; Mammalia; Primates; Hominidae
Description: retained intron
Source: RNAcentral
ACUCUGAUGCCUUCUGAAGCAAAUGGCUUGCUCAACUCCUUGCUGGAUAUAGUUUCCAGCCUCAGCGCCUUGCUUGCCAAAGCCCAGCACGUCUUUGAGUAUCUUCCUGAGUUUCUUCACACAUUUAAAAUCACUGCCUUGCUAGAAACGCUGGACUUUCAACAGGUUUCACAAAAUGUCCAGGCCAGAAGUUCAGCUUUUGGUUCUUUCCAGUUUGUGAUGAAGAUGGUUUGCAAGGACCAAGCAUCAUUCCUUAGCGAUUCCAAUAUGUUUAUUAAUUUGCCCAGAGUUAAGGAACUCUUGGAAGAUGACAAAGAAAAAUUCAACAUUCCUGAAGAUUCAACACCGUUUUGCUUGAAGCUUUAUCAGGAAAUUCUACAAUUGCCAAAUGGUGCUUUGGUGUGGACCUUCCUAAAACCCAUAUUGCAUGGAAAAAUACUAUACACACCAAACACUCCAGAAAUUAACAAGGUCAUUCAAAAGGCUAAUUACACCUUUUAUAUUGUGGACAAACUAAAAACUUUAUCAGAAACACUGCUGGAAAUGUCCAGCCUUUUCCAGAGAAGUGGAAGUGGCCAGAUGUUCAACCAGCUACAGGAGGCCCUGAGAAACAAAUUUGUAAGAAACUUUGUAGAAAACCAGUUGCACAUUGAUGUAGACAAACUUACUGAAAAACUCCAGACAUAUGGAGGGCUGCUGGAUGAGAUGUUUAACCAUGCAGGCGCUGGACGCUUCCGUUUCUUGGGCAGCAUCUUGGUCAAUCUCUCUUCCUGCGUGGCACUGAACCGUUUCCAGGCUGUGCAGUCUGUCGACAUCCUGGAGACUAAAGCACAUGAACUCUUGCAGCAGAACAGCUUCUUGGCCAGUAUCAUUUUCAACAAUUCCUUAUUCGACAAGAACUUCAGAUCAGAGUCUGUCAAACUGCCACCCCAUGUCUCAUACACAAUCCGGACCAAUGUGUUAUACAGCGUGCGAACAGAUGUGGUAAAAAACCCUUCUUGGAAGUUCCACCCUCAGAAUCUACCAGCUGAUGGGUUCAAAUAUAACUACGUCUUUGCCCCACUGCAAGACAUGAUCGAAAGAGCCAUCAUUUUGGUGCAGACUGGGCAGGAAGCCCUGGAACCAGCAGCACAGACUCAGGCGGCCCCUUACCCCUGCCAUACCAGCGACCUAUUCCUGAACAACGUUGGUUUCUUUUUUCCACUGAUAAUGAUGCUGACGUGGAUGGUGUCUGUGGCCAGCAUGGUCAGGAAGUUGGUGUAUGAGCAGGAGAUACAGAUAGAAGAGUACAUGCGGAUGAUGGGAGUGCAUCCAAUGAUCCAUUUCCUGGCCUGGUUCCUGGAGAACAUGGCUGUGUUGACCAUAAGCAGUGCUACUCUGGCCAUCGUUCUGAAAACAAGUGGCAUCUUUGCGCACAGCAAUACCUUUAUUGUUUUCCUCUUUCUCUUGGAUUUUGGGAUGUCAGUCGUCAUGCUGAGCUACCUCUUGAGUGCAUUUUUCAGCCAAGCUAAUACGGCGGCCCUUUGUACCAGCCUGGUGUACAUGAUCAGCUUUCUGCCCUACAUAGUUCUAUUGGUUCUACAUAACCAAUUAAGUUUUGUUAAUCAGACAUUUCUGUGCCUUCUUUCGACAACCGCCUUUGGACAAGGGGUAUUUUUUAUUACAUUCCUGGAAGGACAAGAGACAGGGAUUCAGUGGAAUAAUAUGUACCAGGCUCUGGAACAAGGGGGCAUGACAUUUGGCUGGGUUUGCUGGAUGAUUCUUUUUGAUUCAAGCCUUUAUUUUUUGUGUGGAUGGUACUUGAGCAACUUGAUUCCUGGAACAUUUGGUUUACGGAAACCAUGGUAUUUCCCCUUUACUGCCUCAUAUUGGAAGAGUGUGGGUUUCUUGGUGGAGAAAAGGCAAUACUCUCUAAGUUCUAGUCUGUUCUUCAAUGAGAACUUUGACACUAAAGGGUCAUCACUGCAAAACAGGGAAGGAGAGCUUGAAGGAAGUGCUUCGGGAGUCACCCUGGUGUCUGUGACCAAGGAAUAUGAGGGCCACAAGGCUGUGGUCCAAGACCUCAGCCUGACCUUCUACAGAGACCAAAUCACCGCCCUGCUGGGGACAAACGGUGCCGGGAAAACCACUAUCAUAUCCAUGUUGACGGGGCUCCACCCUCCCACUUCUGGAACCAUCAUCAUCAAUGGCAAGAACCUACAGACAGACCUGUCGAGGGUCAGAAUGGAGCUUGGUGUGUGUCCGCAGCAGGACGUCCUGUUGGACAACCUCACCGUCCGGGAACAUUUGCUGCUCUUUGCUUCCAUAAAGGCGCCUCAGUGGACCAAGAAGGAGCUGCAUCAGCAAGUCAAUCAAACUCUUCAGGAUGUGGACUUAAUUCAGCAUCAGCACAAACAGACCCGAGCUCUGUCUGGGGGCCUGAAGAGGAAGCUCUCCCUUGGCAUUGCUUUCAUGGGCAUGUCGAGGACCGUGGUUCUGGAUGAGCCCACCAGUGGGGUGGACCCUUGCUCCCGGCAUAGCCUGUGGGACAUUCUGCUCAAGUACCGAGAAGGUAGGCACUGGGCCUCGUUCUGCCUUCUCUUCCCACAAUGUUGUGUUGCAGGAAAUGCAUUGCUACUGUACAGUAGAAUCAAGUUGUAUCCCAAUGAGGCUACAUUAUCCUUUUCAGAAAAAUAUAAAUUUUUAAAAGCACUUAUAGGGAUAUAUUCGUUAGAUAACAUCUCUAUAGUGCUUAGAAUUGCUUACUUUGUGUUUGACCUUUUAACUCAAUAACCCCAAUGACAUCUAUGUACAUUAUACAUUAUCAUACAUGAUUUCAAGGAAAAUUGUCUUCUUCUGGAAGCAUAGUUUCUUAGAAGAGGCAUCCCAGAUCAUAGGACAAGCCUCCCUUGUCUCAGAUGAAGAAAUGAAGGCUCAGAGAGACGGGCAUGUGAUUUACUUGUAGCUACAGAGAAAGUUUCCUGAACUGAGGGUGGAUGUUGAACCUCUUGUCCAUAUUUCUCACAUCUAUUAUUGUUUCUUUCCAAUUUAGGACAUUUGAUGGGCAGUUACUAAUUUCCAACUUCUGAUUCUUUCUGCAAUCCUGACAGCUAGGAAGCAUUGUUCUAUGUAUUUUCUAUGAGAAUACUCCCUUUUGGAAAGAAACAUAGCAACAGUAAAACACAUCUUGGUGCUGGUAAAUAAGUGUAGAGGCAUCAGUGGCAGGAUUAAUACAGAUUCUCAUAAAAUGUUAUUUUGCUUUUUCUUUUGCCUUUUGAGUAUAAAAUUUUCUUCUGACUUAACCUAAAGUCUCCAUUUCCCUGGAGGUGAACUAGGAUUUGCAAAUGAAGAAAUAAAGG